This is a long non-coding RNA of Equus quagga, 969 nucleotides long. RefSeq lists it as uncharacterized. NCBI's taxonomy places the organism in Eukaryota, Metazoa, Chordata, Mammalia, Perissodactyla, Equidae. The record is from RefSeq and is a predicted model, not a curated record. The transcript is spliced from 4 exons.
CGUAACUACCUGUUCUCCGUGCAUUUCCGGCUUGAGACCUAUCCUGGGUCCUGAGAGAGCGGCGGGUUCUUGUUGUUCAGUGGAUUGCCAAAGUGUAAGGUGAAGACAGACUAAAAAGCCAAGUUCAAAACAACUUUAUAAGAGCUUUACUCUCCGCAGAAGGCGAAUGUCGCUGUGACGUGACAUAUUAGUCUUGAGCUCCUAGAGGCCGGGCAGUCAUAUGGGAUUAGGGCCCAUCGUAAUUACUUCAUCUUAACUGGAUCAUCUGCAAAGACGCUAUUUCCAAACAAGAUAAUGGGAGUUAGAACUUCAGCAUCUUUUUGGGAAAACCCGUAACUGGACAAAACCGAAAACAACAAGAGAAAAAUCGGAUACGCUGGAUGAAUGGCCACCAAUACAACUGCCUCUCCACUUGGCUCUUAAUGCACUUCAGGCAGCAGGAUCCUUCCUGAAAGUGGUGGAGACAAGGAGAUGGUGCGAGCAGAAAGGAGUUGCCCUGCCUGCACCUUUACUGGCCUGGAAGCAGAGCCUGGCUGCUCUACAUAGAAGUUGAGUUAUGGAGAACGUGGUGGCUGGGGUGGUGUGGGCCUGGGCAUGGCAUAUGUCAUGGGAAGGAGCUGGGUGAGCUGUGUUCCAGGACAUGGAGCAGGGAUAAUGUGGGCGAGGAACCUGGAGGAGGGUGCCUGAGCAAUGCCUUCCCUGCUCCUUGGGUCACUCCCAGGCACACUGCUGGCUUCACUCCUGGCUUGUCUACCUCCCUCCUUCAGGUGUCACCUCCAGUGUCUCUGGAGUCCCUGCUUUCCCAAAGAAGGCUCAAACUUCCUAAAGAGACCAUGGAUAUUGAAAACUGCAGCCAACCGCUGAAAGUUUGAAUAAAUUGUAUUCCAGAAAUUCUGCUUCUAAAAUUCAGUUCUAAAAGCAAUAAAUGUUAAUGGACACAAAUGUACCCAUAGGACAAUUUUAAGAGUG